AAAGGGGAGAAUAUUUUUCUAUCUCUUCCAAAUCGUAAAAAAAAAGAAAAAAAACUCUGAAGAACUCUCAACAUUCGUAAAAGUGUUUCGAUCUCUUCCAAACUUUGCAGAAACGGAUCCCAAUUCAUUUAACAUUUUAGCUUCACAACGAGAAGAAAACAGGGUGAUCGAGAGAGAUGGAAGACGUAAAGGCAAAACAACAGCAUACAUGGGUUGUAUAGCAGCAGAAUGUUCUUGCAGUGACUCCUCCACGUGUGAAACCUGUCCUCAUUAAGGUUUGUGCUUUAGGAGGUCUGAGGAGAUUGCAAAGAUAUAAUCUUUUUUUUUUGUUGAGGUAUGUGCAUAAUAAUGACUUCCGUUAGAUCCAUAUAAAAGUUCCAUCUACAUCAAUUUUGUUGAAUUCAUACUGCAAAACUUGGUGUCCUUUUUCGCUUAUAUGGAAAGGUCUAUGUUAAGUUGUCAAGACUAGAUGCUGGCAGCUUCAAAGUUGCUUGUCGCCUCCUUGAGUUCUUCAUAUGACAGAAACCGUGUACUUUUGCUGGGUGGGGAAGUGAUCCCCCUGAUGAAGCUGCUUCCAGGAUCCUUGGUUUUACUGAAAGGAAGGAAGAUGUGAUCAAGCAAAAGAACAACAAAGUUAAUUGCACGAGAGAAAAUGAUAAGCACAGAGAUUAUAGCAGUGAUGAGCACACCAGCGGCUACAGCAAAGAUAAGAAUAAGAACGUUUCUUAAUACAAAUGUAAAGAAUCAUGAUGUUGAUAUACUCUCAGAAAAGCAUUUUACUUUGAGAAGGUGCAGGGGCCUCAAACCAAGUAAAGUUUGACUCGCUGAGAAACUAAUACCAGAAUGAGGCGUGAUAUCCAUGGAAAUGUUCAUCCUUGAUAAGCUUAGCAUAUAGAAGUUGAUCAGCUCAAUUUGGUGAGGUAGGAGACCAAGCUGGGAAGCAAAUUCGAUCAGGAACAUGUUCCAGCUGGGAGUAUCUGAAACAUUCAAGAGAAGGAUGUCCAGCUUUAUAGGGAUACACGCAGUGGCAGCCAAUACUUCCUCGUUUCAGCACCAUAUCUGGUUUGCAACAAUACUCACCUGUUAUUGCUAUUUUGCUAGUCUAAUGACAAAUCAAAAUGAGAAUAGAUAACGUCUUACCUGAAAUGGAGGGAGACAAAGGUGGCUUCGUUAAGCCAUCUGGAAGUGCGCCAUUACUAAUUAGAUUGCGUUGGAGCAAUAUCUACCAAACCUGCUCCAGGAGACUGGACAUUAGAUGGUUUGGAGAUGAACAGAAGCAACCAACCGACUAUAACGGGGAGGAGUGUUGAGAAGAUUUACAAGGUGGAGCUUGAGAACGGCAAGAGACGUUGCUGUCAAGAAGAAGAUUUUCUGGAAAGAUGAUCUCAUAUUGGACAAAAGCUUCAACAGAGAAGCUAAGAUGCUUGGAAAGGUUAAACUUAGACAUCCUGGUAAGUCGAUGGGUUAUUGCUGCAGCAAGUCUGAAGGAUUAUAUCUGACUAAAAGGGUCUGAUGCAUUUGUGGAUGAUAGAAAAUCUAGCGGAGGUUUCAGUCUUAAUGAUAGAAACCAACUCAACAUGUACUUGAAAGGGUUUCUGGUUGCAAGAACAUUAUGGAGUCGUUAAGUUAAAAAACGUCAUUUCAUUGUUAAGUACGAGGAUACAUCAGCUCUUUGAACAGAAGUUAAUUACAGAUCUUACAGAGAUUGUCUUUGGAGAGCAGGUUGCUCGCAGAGAUUCCAGAGUUUGCAGAACUUGGCUUCUUAUAAUUCUUAAAUGAUAGUCUUCAAACACGAAGGCGUGGAAGUCCAGAUGCAGUUGAUAAAAUAAAAUGAUAAGUCUUUGAAGGUUCUUUGAAAAAAAAAAAACAAAAAAAGCAAAAUGAGAACAUGUGUCAAGUCAAAACGUGUGUCCUAUUGGCUGUACCUUUCUGAUGAUAAGAUAAUUGCUUCUGAGGCUCUUCACAGUGUCCUUACUGUUCUUGGUUAAGAGCCAGCGAGGUUUUGGUGAUCUCAGGUUGUUUCUGGAGAUUCUUUUGCAAUGAAGUCUCUUGAGCUUGCGGUUAUUAAUGGACGAGAAAUAUCUCAAAAUUCUGACAGAAUCUAUGCUAGAGUAUGAUAGAACUCUUAAAACAGAGGAUGAUUGCAGGUUUUGCAUGAAAGGGUUGUUGUUCUCAGACUCAAGGUGCAGAUUUUUGUUAAUGUAUCUGAAGCUGAGAAGACAAAAUCUGAAUUAUGGUUUGAUGGGUAUCUCAUGUCAACAAGAAGAUAAAAACUGAUCCAAAGACUGGACAUCUGUCUUGUUGUGGUGCCAAUUGUUUUUGAUAGGACCUUCUCUCCUGAGCCAUCCAGAGGAGCAAAAACAGGGGAACCCAAAACAGAGAAGCCUAGAAGAACCAUGACAUCCUCUAAUAUUACCGUUGCUUCUCCCCAAGGGAAGAUGAAGGUUUUGGUUUCAGGAGACCAUCUCUCAGCAACACCCAUGACUAGAUUUGAGUCUUUAAUGAUUUUGAGAGUGGAUGCAGCAACUGCUUGGAGAACCGCUGAAACUGCCAUCUUCUCCCAUAUGAUAAGA
Raphanus sativus (radish) is the source of this 2573-nucleotide long non-coding RNA. RefSeq lists it as uncharacterized. The transcript has 3 exons. Lineage: Eukaryota; Viridiplantae; Streptophyta; Magnoliopsida; Brassicales; Brassicaceae. The record is from RefSeq and is a predicted model, not a curated record.